RNAcentral lists this ribosomal RNA (1788 nucleotides) under Arcyria marginoundulata. RNAcentral's name for it is "bacterial SSU rRNA". It matches the Rfam family "Eukaryotic small subunit ribosomal RNA". Lineage: Eukaryota; Evosea; Eumycetozoa; Trichiida; Trichiidae. The record is from RNAcentral.
CUCCGUAUAUCUGUUGUCACCAGUAACGCCCUUAUGCGCCGUCGUCCGGCAUGUACGGAUAGACGCGGUAAUUCUGCUUGUAAUACGUGUGAAACCGCCGUGCGGCUGUGUCGCCCCUCACGGGGUGACUCGCCCUAUACCGGCUGGGGUCCCAAGGCAACCAAUCCCGCCCUAGGCGGGGGUGGAGUCCGAGGGACAGCACCAAAGAAGGCCCUCGAGGCUCUCUUAAGCGCUGGGCUUCAGACCUAUCAACUGUGGAGGCUGGGUAAGGUCCAGCCUCGGUGAUAACGGGUACAGAGGAUCAGGGUUCGGUCCUGGAGAGGUAGCCUGAGAGAUAGCUACUACUUCUAAGGAAGGCAGCAGGCGCGCAACGUUCCCAAUGGUUCCACACCUAGUGGCUGAGGACGUUAAGGGACAUAACAAUGCCUUGCCCGAUAAGGGCGGGGUAAUUGUAAUGGGGGCGUUCUAAACCCCCCACCGAGUAGCAAUUGGAGGACAAGUCUGGUGCCAGCACCCGCGGUAAUUCCAGCUCCAAUAGCAUCUAAUUGAGUUGUUGCAGUUAAAACGCUCGUAGUCAGAGUCGGCCGGCGCCGACCCUGCGAGUAGGCAGCCCUCCGGUUCGCCGGAGAGCCACCCAAAGCAGGGAACUGGCCCGGUCAUAAUGGUGUCAGGCGGGUCCGCCCGCCUGCUCGCCGUUUUACUUUGAGGAAAUGUGAGCGCUCUAAGCAGCCCCUUAGGGGCCUGAAGCCUGCAGCAAAGAAUAAUACAACACGGCCACGUGGUGUAUUGGUUACGCGCCGCAUGGCAAUGAUCAAUAGGGGAGAUCGGGGCCGGCCUCAUGGCGGGGGUAGGGGUGAAAUCCGUUGAUCCUCGCCAGGAGAACAAAAGCGAAAGCAGCCGGCAAGUACUCUUUCUUUGAUCAAGAACGAAAGUCUGGGGAUCGAAGAUGAUCAGAUACCAUCGUAGUCCAGACCCUAAAUGCUGCCGACCAUGGAUGGGCAUCAGUCCGUCCCGACCCGGCCCGCACCUUGUGAGAAAUCAUAAGUGUUUGGGCUCCGGGGGGAGUAUGGUCGCAAGACUGAAACUUAAAGGAAUUGACGGAAGAGCACACAAGGAGUGGAGCCUGCGGCCUAAUUUGACUCAACACGGGGAAACUCACGAGUGCAAGAGAGGGGUAUGAAGCCCGGCAUGAAUUGCCUGGCUGAUUCCUUCAGUGGUGGUGCAUGGUCGUUCUUAGUUCGUGGAGUGAUUUGUCUGGUCUAUUCCGCUAACGAGCGAGAACCCGCCUUCUGGUUGUUGCCCUCCCUACGCCGAGCUUCUGCGGCUGUCCCUCGGUACAUCGAUCCUUCGGGGUCCCUAAGGCCUUGGGGUAGCGGGUCGCUCACUAUGUGUGUAGGGGGCGGGGCCUGCAAGGUGUCCCGGCGAUAAGCCGGGGAUAUGGGUCAAUAACAGGUCAGUGAUGCCCUUAGAUGUACUCGGCUGCACGCGCGCUACAAUGGGAGGCACAACGGGUCUUCCGCACCUAUAGGUCGCGGAGAAUCCUUGUAACGCCGCCCACAUCCGGGAUUGCAGCAUGUAAUAUGCUGCAUGAACACGGAAUUUCUAGUAGUCACGGUUCACCAGACCGUGGCGAUUCUGUCCCUGCUCUUUGUACACACCGCCCGUCGCUCCUACCGAUUGGGCUGCGGGGUGAAAUAGGAGGACCCCCAGAAUAUUCUGCGCGCCGGCUCGCCCGGCCGUGGGCAAUCUCUUGAACCCUGUGGUCUAGAGGAAGGAGAAGUCGUAACA